UGAAUGCUAGGUGUAGGAGGUAUCGACCCCUCCUGUGCCGGAGUUAACGCAAUAAGCAUUCCGCCUGGGGAGUACGGUCGCAAGACUGAAACUCAAAGGAAUUGACGGGGGCCCGCACAAGCGGUGGAGUAUGUGGUUUAAUUCGACGCAACGCGAAGAACCUUACCAGGGCUUGACAUUGAGUGAAAGAGCUAGAGAUAGCUUAUUUCCUUCGGGAACACGAAAACAGGUGGUGCAUGGCUGUCGUCAG
RNAcentral lists this ribosomal RNA (250 nucleotides) under uncultured bacterium. RNAcentral describes it as "partial 16S ribosomal RNA". It matches the Rfam family "Bacterial small subunit ribosomal RNA", at positions 810 to 1058 of the family's 1533-position model. The record is from RNAcentral.